This 482-nucleotide ribosomal RNA is filed under the name uncultured bacterium. RNAcentral's name for it is "partial 16S ribosomal RNA". It matches the Rfam family "Bacterial small subunit ribosomal RNA", at positions 30 to 507 of the family's 1533-position model. The record is from RNAcentral.
AUUGAACGCUGGCGGCAUGCCUUACACAUGCAAAUCGAACGGUAACGGGCCUUCGGGUGCCGACGAGUGGCGAACGGGUGAGUAAUACAUCGGAACGUGCCCGAUCGUGGGGGAUAACGAGGCGAAAGCUUUGCUAAUACCGCAUACGAUCUACGGAUGCAAGCAGGGGACCGCAAGGCCUUGCGCGGACGGGGCGGCCGAUGGCAGAUUAGGUAGUUGGUGGGAUAAAAGCUUACCAAGCCGACGAUCUGUAGCUGGUCUGAGAGGAUGAUCAGCCACACUGGGACUGAGACACGGCCCAGACUCCUACGGGAGGCAGCAGUGGGGAAUUUUGGACAAUGGGCGCAAGCCUGAUCCAGCCAUGCCGCGUGCAGGAUGAAGGCCUUCGGGUUGUAAACUGAUUUUGUACGGAACGAAAAGCCUUCUUUUAAUACAGGAGGGUCAUGACGGUACCGUAAGAAUAAGCACCGGCUAACUACGUG